Molecule: ribosomal RNA, 371 nt
Filed under: uncultured eukaryote
Lineage: Eukaryota
Description: partial 18S ribosomal RNA
Rfam family: Eukaryotic small subunit ribosomal RNA
Source: RNAcentral
CAAUAGCGUAUAUUAAAGUUGUUGCAGUUAAAAAGCUCGUAGUUGGAUUUCUGGUAGGAUGACUGUGCCCUCAGUAGAGUGUGCGCUGGCGUCUUGCCAUCCUUCUGUUAACCUUUGGGAGCUUCACCGCUCCCUUUGGGGCUCAGAUAUUUUACCUUGAGAAAAUUAGAGUGUUUCAGGCAGGCUAGCGCCGGAAUACAUUAGCAUGGAAUAAUGGAAUAGGACUUUUGCCUCUUCUGUUGGUCAUGGGGUUCGAGUAAUGAUUAAUAGGGAUAGUUGGGGGCAUUAGUACUUCACUGUCAGAGGUGAAAUUCUCGGAUUUGUGAAAGACUAACUUAUGCGAAAGCAUUCGCCAAGGAUGUUUUCAUUAA